Molecule: long non-coding RNA, 3318 nt
Organism: Schistocerca piceifrons (Central American locust)
Lineage: Eukaryota; Metazoa; Arthropoda; Insecta; Orthoptera; Acrididae
Exons: 3
Source: RefSeq, a predicted model, not a curated record
AUUUCCUUUGGGGUACAGAUAAAACAUUAGUAUAUCAAAGUAACACAAAGACAAUCAAUGAACUGAAGACAGUGAUAAUUGAUUAUCUGUAUUUCAUUACUCAUGAAACAUUGGCAAAGAUGUUAACAAAUAAAUGUAAAGGUGUUGAACUAUGGCUUCAAGAAAGAAAGAAACAUUUCCAGCACCUACUGUGAUACUGGUUCUCCUUUGUGAUGAAAUUUACCUAACAUAAUGAAGAACUUCUUAAAACUAUCACCAGGAUGUGUCAUUGAUAUUAUUUAUGUACAUCUCCAUAAACAGUUCAGCCACACCAUUGAUCCACGUCAAGUGUCCUAGUAUUUCAUACCUAAAAUGGGAUCAGCUUGAGUAUGAACUGAGCAUUAGGCAACAAAAUGUUCAUGGUACAGUGGGGGAGCUGGCAGUCAGGCUAUGGGCAGUGUUGUCAACACCACUCUCCAUUUCUGUUGGCGAGGUGAGCCAAAAUUUACAGGCUAUUAUGGUAGCAUUGAAUCAGUUACAAGAAAAUCUCUCCUAUCUCCAAAAUAAUCAACCACCUGAGAAGCAGUUAAAGCAUAUUCCUCCACAAUUAGUCCACCUGGGCAGUAGGAUAAAGGAUCUUAAACUUCUAGAACUGAGCCCUGAGAAUCUUUUGUUUGAUUUGCAAAUCCAAACUGCAGCUUUAGAGUUAGAAAGUGUGGCUGAUAAAAAUAAUAUAGAAUGUGUUUCUGACAAUCCAAUAGCAUGGUGUAGUUGUGUACAGGCAGCCACCACACAUACCUUAACAAUUUGUUUGUGUGGCUGUAGGGCAUGAACUAUUGUGUGGGUGUCACACCUUAAUUAUGUGUGGUUUAUUGAAUAUGGCCACUUAUGUAGAUUAUCUCCAGUACAUCCCUUGAUUGAGAGAUGUCGGAUGGCCAAUGGUCAAGAGUUACCUCUGUGCAGGAAGUGCGGAGAAAUAUUUCUGUGUGUGGAUUUUCAUGGCCUGUCUAGUUUUUAUUAGUUAAUUAGUUAAUGGACUGGUGCCUGACUUAAUUCCAGGGUAUGAUUUCAUCCGUAAGACCAGUAUGAUGUUAGAUUUUGGUACCCGGACCUUUUAUUUCAAAUUUUCCCCCAACAAUAGAACAGCCUUUUGUUCAUGUUUUCAUAUGGGGAUGGGACGUGACACCAGUAGUAAAACCUGCCUGCUUGGUGUAGACCACCUCUCUAAUCAACAAGGGAAACAGUUAAGUGAACUUUUGGGAGAAUUUCCUGAUGUACUUUGUGACAGGUUUGGAUUUACAGAUGUCAUUAGAUACCAUAUAUCCUGGAUGACAUGCCGGUUUGCCAGUCUCUAUAUUGCUUUUCACCACCUAAGAUAAAGAUAUUGUGGCACAAAACUGAGGGCUUGUUAAAAGACAGAGUCAUAAGACCAGCCACCUCACCCUAUGCUUCCCCCCAUUUUCUUAGUACCUAAAGAUCAGGGGGCAAGAUUUCCGACUUGUGGUUGAUUACAGGCUUUUCAAUAAAAAGGUGAUCUUGAAAUCGGUGCCACUGCCUGAUCUCCACAACUGUUUCACCUGGUUUUCUGGAGCAUCUGGGUUCAUGGUCCUAGAUCUUAAUCAGUCUUAUUGCCAGAUACCUUUAUAAUGGAAGAAUCUAAGCAUCUCACCGCCUUCGCCACAAAUUGGAAUUUAUAUGAGUUCAACCAAGUUUCAUUUGAUUUGUCAACCAGUGAAGCAGUUUUAUUCUGUUUAUUGGAUAAAAGUUUUGGUGAUUUAAAGUUUAAUUGUGUCUUCAAUUAUUUGGAUGAUGUGGUCAUAUUUAGCGCCUCCUUUGAAAAGCAUUUAGAGGACAUCCAGAAGGUGCUAUCCAGGCUCAGGGAUGUUGGGUGUGAAACCAACAAAGAUAACCCUGGUUAAGCACCAGGUGUAAUUUUUGCAAAUUAGCAUUGAUCAGGAAUGAACUAAGGCACUGAGGAAUUUUCCGCAGCCAUGAAAAUUUGCUUCCCGACAUCUGGAGGGGCCUGAGCUCGAUUACUCAGUAUAUGAGUGCGAAGCGUUAGCUGUGUUAUUUGCCCUGGAAAAAUUUUGGUUGUAUCUCGAACAUCAUGAAUUUGACCUAGAGACAGGUGGUUCAGGCCACUGUGGGUGGUGGUUACAAAUAAUGCCCCUGGCUUUCUGGCAAUGUCAUUUAGACAAUUCUGUUUUGGUAAUGGGAUAAAACAUGUUACCACCACACCUUUUUAUCCUCAGGCUUCCUUUGCCAAAAGAAUUAACUGCAACUUGAAGUCAGCAUUGAUUAUUUAACACCAUAAAUCGCCAAAGAAGUGGGAUACCAUCUUGCCCUGGUUAAACUUAGUGUUUAACUCUGUGCGGCAUGAAGCAGCCCAGGCCACCCCAGCUAGGCUGAUGCUCGCGUAACCAAUGAAUUCCCUGCUCUCCAAUUUAUGGGAGAUAAAUGAUCUUUUACCCCUCCAUCCAUCACUCUGGAGGUUCUUAGGGAGAAAUGGUUGCGAUCUCGGGCAAAUAUUAGGUCUGUCGCUAUAAUAGAAACAAAUGCCCCUUUCAGCGAAGAUAGGGGAUCUUGUCCACAUCAGGAAUGUUCCUGGGCAGACUUCUCGGGAUAACACUUAGGGAAGCUAGCCUCAUAUUUCCUAGGUCCACAUUCCAUUGUCAAAAUUUUUUGGUCAGGGACCUGGGAAAGCAGAAGCUAAUAAGGGUUCAUGUCAGUCGCAUUAAACAUCCCAGUGGAGUGAGGGGUUCUUAGACCCAGAAGAGGCCUGUUCAGGUUUGAGUGGGGAAGGUUCAGCUGUGGUGCCAUUGUACGAGUAGACUGUUCUAUCUGGUGCCACUGGCUCAGGUGUACUAUCGACUAUCCCCAUUGCGGCCCCAUUGCCAAUAUCUAUGAGGAAGAGUUAGUACCUGUGAAGUGUGUCCUUGGAAGGUCUUCGGUUGCCAAUAUAUAUAUAUACGGAGUUUGCCGGCCCUAGAAGGGAAGGCAUAAAGUUUGGGGAUUGGCAGUAGUGUUGCGACAAGAAGGGGUCACGAGGUCCAAGCGGCCAAAGCCGCGAGCUGUAAAAGGAGGGCCUGCACAGAGCGAAGACACGGGAGUACUUCACUGGAGCCAGUGUCAACUACAAACAGUAGGCUGACAUUCCGUUGGUUGGUUGGAAACAUUUGUGUCGGGCGACCACUCAUGGCCUGGCUGCCCUCUUCUACCUGGCUUUCAUCAGCACCACUCAGUAACCACUACAACACACUGUAGAUCCAUGGGACUGCUUGCUGAUAAAGGGGAGUAACAUUCUGUAAUCCUUGUGGUAAUUAGUUUCUUUCCAUACUU